GCAUCUGUAGCUCAGUGGAUAGAGUGUGUGUGCUUUCUAAGCAGGAGGUCGUGGGUUCGAACCCUACCUGAUGUG
Molecule: transfer RNA, 75 nt
Filed under: Spinacia oleracea (spinach)
Lineage: Eukaryota; Viridiplantae; Streptophyta; Magnoliopsida; Caryophyllales; Amaranthaceae
Rfam family: tRNA
About the family: Transfer RNA (tRNA) molecules are approximately 80 nucleotides in length. Their secondary structure includes four short double-helical elements and three loops (D, anti-codon, and T loops). Further hydrogen bonds mediate the characteristic L-shaped molecular structure. tRNAs have two regions of fundamental functional importance: the anti-codon, which is responsible for specific mRNA codon recognition, and the 3' end, to which the tRNAs corresponding amino acid is attached (by aminoacyl-tRNA synthetases). tRNAs cope with the degeneracy of the genetic code in two manners: having more than one tRNA (with a specific anti-codon) for a particular amino acid; and 'wobble' base-pairing, i.e. permitting non-standard base-pairing at the 3rd anti-codon position.
Source: Rfam by way of RNAcentral